AGUAAAGUCAGCUAAUUAAGCUCUUGGGCCCAUACCCCAAAAAUGUUGGUUUAACCCCGCCUUUACUA
This 68-nucleotide transfer RNA is filed under the name Takydromus wolteri (mountain grass lizard). Its description in RNAcentral is "tRNA-Met". The record is from RNAcentral. Lineage: Eukaryota; Metazoa; Chordata; Lepidosauria; Squamata; Lacertidae.